This 217-nucleotide ribosomal RNA is filed under the name uncultured bacterium. RNAcentral describes it as "partial 16S ribosomal RNA". It matches the Rfam family "Bacterial small subunit ribosomal RNA", at positions 122 to 334 of the family's 1533-position model. The record is from RNAcentral.
CAACCUGCCCCUGUGAGGGGGAUAACUGCUGGAAACGGCAGCUAAGACCGCAUAGGCAUAGAGGACGCAUGUCGACUAUGUUAAAUAUCCCACGGGAUAGCACAGGGAUGGGCUUAUGACGCAUUAGCCAGCUGGUGAGGUAACGGCUCACCAGGGCGACGAUGCGUAGCCGGCCUGAGAGGGUGGACGGCCACACUGGGACUGAGACACGGCCCAG